RNAcentral lists this ribosomal RNA (252 nucleotides) under Escherichia coli. Its description in RNAcentral is "partial 16S ribosomal RNA". It matches the Rfam family "Bacterial small subunit ribosomal RNA", at positions 1 to 249 of the family's 1533-position model. Lineage: Bacteria; Pseudomonadati; Pseudomonadota; Gammaproteobacteria; Enterobacterales; Enterobacteriaceae. The record is from RNAcentral.
AAAUUGAAGAGUUUGAUCAUGGCUCAGAUUGAACGCUGGCGGCAGGCCUAACACAUGCAAGUCGAACGGUAACAGGAAGCAGCUUGCUGCUUCGCUGACGAGUGGCGGACGGGUGAGUAAUGUCUGGGAAGCUGCCUGAUGGAGGGGGAUAACUACUGGAAACGGUAGCUAAUACCGCAUAAUGUCGCAAGACCAAAGAGGGGGACCUUCGGGCCUCUUGCCAUCGGAUGUGCCCAGAUGGGAUUAGCUUGU